GACGAACGCAGGCGGCGUGCCUAAUACAUGCAAGUAGAACGCUGAAGGAGGAGCUUGCUUCUCUGGAUGAGUUGCGAACGGGUGAGUAACGCGUAGGUAACAUGCCUGGUAGCGGGGGAUAACUAUUGGAAACGAUAGCUAAUACCGCAUAAGAGUAGAUGUUGCAUGACAUUUGCUUAAAAGGUGCAAUUGCAUCACUACCAGAUGGACAUGCGUUGUAUUAGCUAGUUGGUGGGGUAACGGCUCACCAAGGCGACGAUACAUAGCCGACCUGAGAGGGUGAUCGGCCACACUGGGACUGAGACACGGCCCAGACUCCUACGGGAGGCAGCAGUAGGGAAUCUUCGGCAAUGGACGGAAGUCUGACCGAGCAACGCCGCGUGAGUGAAGAAGGUUUUCGGAUCGUAAAGCUCUGUUGUAAGAGAAGAACGAGUGUGAGAGUGGAAAGUUCACACUGUGACGGUAUCUUACCAGAAAGGGACGGCUAACUACGUGCCAGCAGCCGCGGUAAUACGUAGGUCCCGAGCGUUGUCCGGAUUUAUUGGGCGUAAAGCGAGCGCAGGCGGUUAGAUAAGUCUGAAGUUAAAGGCUGUGGCUUAACCAUAGUACGCUUUGGAAACUGUUUAACUUGAGUGCAAGAGGGGAGAGUGGAAUUCCAUGUGUAGCGGUGAAAUGCGUAGAUAUAUGGAGGAACACCGGUGGCGAAAGCGGCUCUCUGGCUUGUAACUGACGCUGAGGCUCGAAAGCGUGGGGAGCAAACAGG
Molecule: ribosomal RNA, 763 nt
Filed under: uncultured Streptococcus sp.
Lineage: Bacteria; Bacillati; Bacillota; Bacilli; Lactobacillales; Streptococcaceae
Description: bacterial SSU rRNA
Rfam family: Bacterial small subunit ribosomal RNA
Source: RNAcentral